CAGAUCCGCCGGAAGCCGGGCCUGCCCCGCGCCAGUGCGGCCGGCCGGGGCGCGCGCUCGGCAGAGGGGGGUCGCCAGGUUCGCUGGGAGCAACUGCCUGCGAAGAGUUUCUCGGACGCACGGACCGUUACUGACCUCAGCGGCGGACGAAACCAGGACAGACAGGACUGAGCGCUCGGGGAAGCCAACCGCCCUGCCGUGAGGACCGUUGAGCACCGUGGAGAGGUCUGCACGGUGAGGAGCUACCGGUUUGCUGGCCGUGUGAGUGGACCACCCCACAGGAGGGUCUGCCCAGCUCCUGUGAAGCCUUCAGAGGCCUGCAGCCCUGGCUGACACGGGCAGCAACCCCAUGAGCAACUGCAGCCAGAACUACCUAGAACUGCCUGCUUCUGAAUUCCGGUUCCACAGCAAUUGAAUAACAAAUGUUUACUGUUUUAAGCUGCUGAGCUUAAGGGCAAUGGAUGACUGCGAUGGAUGACUGAUUCACUAGCUGUCUCACGUAUCUAUUCCUCUACAUAUAAAAGGACCUAAGAGCUGUGGGUAAACUGGCAUUCUCACAUCACUAAGACAGCCCUACACAAGUGGCACUGAGCCUCACGCUGUCUUCAUGCAUCGGGUCGCAUAAGGAUUUGGCAGUCCCUUUCUCAGGGAUAACAUGGCCCUGAGACCUCAGCUCCAAGACGGUGGCGGCCGCAAGCCGGGCUCGGUACAGCCUUCCGAGAAUUACCUGCAACACCAUGGGAACCCACGAGCCCGUGGGGGGGAGGGUCACUGCUUUUCCAAGAGUACACAGAGCCCCAGUUCACAACGUAAUAAGGGGCAGAGCUCACCUCCUCGCAUCUGCAUGGAGUCCUCUUCAUUCCAGGGUCCCCACCGGCAGGAUGCCCUGGGCCCCACAGGUAAACCUUUCAUCCUACAUCCUAAGCUCCCUUCAGCCACGAUUUCACGGGUGGCGGGGCAGUGCCACCUGCUCUCGGUUUGUCUGAGCACCGUGAACACGUGUAACACGCCGUGUCCUCUGUGCUGACACCCCGCC
This is a long non-coding RNA of Manis pentadactyla (Chinese pangolin), 1036 nucleotides long. RefSeq lists it as uncharacterized. NCBI's taxonomy places the organism in Eukaryota, Metazoa, Chordata, Mammalia, Pholidota, Manidae. The transcript has 5 exons. The record is from RefSeq and is a predicted model, not a curated record.